GACGAACGCUGGCGGCAUGCCUAAUACAUGCAAGUCGAACGCUGAAGCACUCUGCUUGCAGAGUGCGGAUGAGUGGCGAACGGGUGAGUAACACGUGGGAAAUCUGCCUAUAAGAGGGGGAUAACAUUCGGAAACGGAUGCUAAUACCGCAUAUAUUCUUGGACCGCCUGGUCCUUGAAAGAAAGACGGCUUUGCUGUCGCUUAUAGAUGAUCCCGCGGCGUAUUAGUUAGUUGGUGGGGUAAAGGCCUACCAAGACAAUGAUACGUAGCCGACCUGAGAGGGUGAUCGGCCACACUGGGACUGAGACACGGCCCAGACUCCUACGGGAGGCAGCAGUAGGGAAUCUUCCACAAUGGGCGAAAGCCUGAUGGAGCAAUGCCGCGUGAAUGAAGAAGGUCUUCGGAUCGUAAAGUUCUGUUAUUAGAGAAGAACAAGUCAAGGAGUAACUGUCUUGAAUUUGACGGUACCUAACCAGAAAGUCACGGCUAACUACGUG
RNAcentral lists this ribosomal RNA (497 nucleotides) under uncultured bacterium. RNAcentral's name for it is "partial 16S ribosomal RNA". It matches the Rfam family "Bacterial small subunit ribosomal RNA", at positions 28 to 507 of the family's 1533-position model. The record is from RNAcentral.